UACGUAGGUGGCAAGCGUUGUUCGGAAUUAUUGGGCGUAAAGCGCGUGUAGGCGGCGUGACAAGUCGGGUGUGAAAGCCCUCAGCUCAACUGAGGAAGUGCGCCCGAAACUGUCGUGCUUGAGUGUCGGAGAGGGUAGCGGAAUUCCCCAAGUAGAGGUGAAAUUCGUAGAUAUGGGGAGGAACACCGGUGGCGAAGGCGGCUACCUGGACGACUACUGACGCUGAGACGCGAAAGCGUGGGGAGCAAACAGG
Molecule: ribosomal RNA, 253 nt
Filed under: uncultured bacterium
Lineage: Bacteria
Description: partial 16S ribosomal RNA
Rfam family: Bacterial small subunit ribosomal RNA
Source: RNAcentral